This 466-nucleotide ribosomal RNA is filed under the name uncultured bacterium. RNAcentral's name for it is "partial 16S ribosomal RNA". It matches the Rfam family "Bacterial small subunit ribosomal RNA", at positions 339 to 795 of the family's 1533-position model. The record is from RNAcentral.
CUACGGGAGGCUGCAGUGGGGAAUAUUGGACAAUGGGGGAAACCCUGAUCCAGCAAUGCCGCGUGUGUGAAGAAGGCCUGCGGGUUGUAAAGCACUUUCGGUUGGGAGGACUGCUUCUAGCACUAAUAUUGUUGGAAGUUGACGUUACCUUCAGAAGAAGCACCGGCUAACUCCGUGCCAGCAGCCGCGGUAAUACGGAGGGUGCAAGGCGUUAAUCGGAAUUACUGGGCGUAAAGCGCGCGUAGGCGGCUAGAUCAUGCGGGUGUGAAAGCCCCGGGCUUAACCUGGGAACUGCAUCCGAUACUGUCUAGCUUGAGUACAGGAGAGGAGAGUGGAAUUCCACAUGUAGCGGUGAAAUGCGUAGAUAUGUGGAGGAACACCAAUGGCGAAGGCAGCUCUCUGGCCUGAUACUGACGCUGAGGUGCGAAAGCGUGGGGAGCAAACAGGAUUAGAUACCCCAGUAGUC